UCCGUAUGGCUGCCCGCACUCGAUGACAGGAGAACGUCGUAAAUUCCUUCCAAUUUGCCGAAAUCGUAGUCUCCUCUACUAGAAGGAAGUAAUAGGUGUGCAACAAGAUCAGCUUGAGUGAGAAGAGGUGGACAAGACGUGAAAGAAAGACGGGAACGGUGGUACGCAGAGGAAGAAGGGAAGAAAGAAAAGUGGGCGCUUUUAUAGAGACACUUCGCACGUCACAUUAACGACGAAAUGGAUCACGUCCUUCCGAGCUCGUAAAGUAAUGCCCCUGGACUUUGUUUACUUCCAAUGAAAGUACACAUCCUCUUCAUUGGUUCAUAGUCCAUCUCCUCUUUUAUACAUCUGCUUUGCGUUUACGGUGGAAUAGAGACUGCACACGUCAGAAACGAGAAGAAAAAUCCUGUCAGAUUAAAAACUGUCUAAGGAAGAUAACUGGGUACAUAUACACGUCUACGCGAGCUCGUUCGGGACUCAAUGAUUUCGCUGAAGGAAACGGCGGGACGUGCUUCAGAUUUUGCAAAUGGAAAGCGAUUUUCUGGUGCAGAGUGCGGAGACGGAAACCCAUCAAAUCGAGCGAGACGUUAAACCGGAAUUCGCUAACCCAGUUCCGGGAUCGUUUUGCUGCUCUUGAAUAGUUACUCGAUACACAACCACACCUGACCAGGUUCGAUUAUAAAGUUUUCACGAGUCUUUCAAACUACGGCAUCGGGCUUUUCCUUCAUGGAUAAUUAUUUAUGAUGCUUCUACCUUCCCAGUCCUUAAGUUCUUGUUCUCGUUUGCGGCCAGACGCGUCCCGAUGAACGAUAUACGUACCUAUGAAUCCGAUACAACUCAAUAGUCUCAAUUCGUCAAUACAUUCUAGUGCAUCUCAACUAUUCCUCACUGCAAUUUACCAAUACCGAUAUCGUGUGCCCGUGAUGUCACGAUUAAUGUCGUUAAACUGCUGUCCUCGGCACGCCCAUGAAAUGGAAUUGUUUUUUAAACGACAGUAAUUUUGUUUUUGAUUCAAACUCCGAAAUUUGUUAUUUAACACGGCGGUGUCUUAUCCCGAUAUUUUAUUCAUAUAUUCGAGUAAAUUUUUCUACCUGCUUUCAUUUAUGCUGUGGACCUCUUCAAAAAGUAAGAUAAUCUCGAAUUGGCCGCAAGUUGCUAUGGAGGCGCAACAAGUGGGACACAGCUACACGGUCACUAUUAUUUUCAGUAUCCAUCUAUAGAGAUAACUGAAUCGAUAAAAAUUGCAUUUCCGACAACAAUUUACGUCAAAUAUCAAAUCUAUUUUCCUCGUUUCAUGAUCUCGGCUGUUCGCAAUAUUCGAUUUAACUACCCAGUCCGAUCGGUAGUUAUACAAGUAAAAGGAAUAAUAAAUAAAAUAAUAGUCCUGCACAACGACCUGGAUUUAUUAGGAAAAUUUGAAUGAUCCCGAUCCACGUAUAAUCCACGCUAUCUCGUGUCCUAUGAAUAAUCGAGUGACAGGUGGAGACGAGUAGGUGACAUUUGAGUGACGUUGGAAUCUGACCGCAAUGUAUUGUGCAUUAUUGAUGCUGCGCAUGCAUCUACAUAUAGUUAAAUAUAUAGGAGAGAAAAAGUCGAGGAUUAAAGCCCAGAAUUUACGUGCACGCAGCAUCCGAUAUACAUAUGUGAAUACAUGCGUCGACUUUACAUGAAAACCAUCCGAUUAUUCAUUGACUCACGAAUUAUACCUAAGUGUCUCCCCCUUGUCAAACGACAGCUCGUGCUUGGCAUUUCAAAUAUUGAUUUAAGUGGGAACAGAACCAAUCUGGAAAAAAAAAAUUACCAGCAUCCCUCCAGAUGCAGAUAGUAUUUGCAAAUAUUUCUUUCACA
This is a long non-coding RNA of Cephus cinctus (wheat stem sawfly), 1848 nucleotides long. RefSeq lists it as uncharacterized. The transcript is spliced from 3 exons. The record is from RefSeq and is a predicted model, not a curated record. Lineage: Eukaryota; Metazoa; Arthropoda; Insecta; Hymenoptera; Cephidae.